Molecule: long non-coding RNA, 1064 nt
Filed under: Equus caballus (horse)
Lineage: Eukaryota; Metazoa; Chordata; Mammalia; Perissodactyla; Equidae
Description: lncRNA (ENSECAG00000051704.1)
Source: RNAcentral
AUUUAAACGGAGGGGCAAGGGGGUCAGUUACUCACCUUCAUGUGCAAAGGGAAGCAGAGAGAAAGUAGCCUGGAGACAAAUACACACACCCACACGAGGGACAAUAACUGUCUAGGUUCCUGCUGCUUUUCCAAUUGCUGGUUCCAGUUCCCAAUGAGGCCUGACUGGAGCUCUGGACAUGGUGGUGUAUUGAGGACCUACACAGAAACUGGGUUCUUGUGGACUCUGUUGGAGCUCUCAUCUCAACCUGACAACCUGGAGAUGGGCAAAGUACAGGGGGAGUUACGCUUCGCUCAGGACCUUGCGUGUGUGGUCUUUCUUGGACAAGAAAGCACAUUGGACUCCUCCCGUCAAGCCCUUUCUUCCCUGUAUCUGAGGUGGGACGCCUACCACGACAAGGCUCUUGCCAAGCAGUGCCACGUCUGCACCCAGGAUCCGACCCGGCGAACCCUGGGCCACCGAAGCGGAACGUGCGCACUUAACCGCUGCGCCACCAGGCUGGCCCCAGAAUUUCUAAUUUUUAAAAACAAUUUAUUUCUCUCUAUGUAUUCUCCAUUUAGUGAGACCCUGUCUUCAUACUUUCCUUAAGUUCUUUAGGCAUGGUUUACUUUAGUCCUUUGAGCAUAUUUAAAAUAUCCCAUGUAAUAUCUUUGUCUAGGAAGCCAAUAUAUGUGCUUCCCCAGGGAAGGUUUCUAUUGACUGAUAUUUAUCCUGUGUAUGGACCAUACUUUCUUGUUUCUUUAUAUGCCUCAUAAAUUUUUGUUCAAAACUAGACAUUUUAAGUAAUAGAAUAUGCCAAUUCUGGAAAUAAGAUUCUUCCCUCUUUCCAGUGAUUGUUGUUGAUCUCAGAUGUGGUUGCUGUUUUUUUGUUUAAUAACAAAUGGGGAAAAUGGCAAUUAAAGGAUUAAAGUAUAAAUAAAUUGUGAUCUAUGAAUACAAGGACAUAUUACUAGAUGUUAAAGGUCACAGAUAGUAGACAACUGUGGCUUGAAGUCUGAGGUCAGGAGAUGUUAACUGCAAAGAGGCUCAAGGAAAUUCUGAGGUGACGGAAUUGUGGUAUAUAU